ACCGAGGCGGUGGUGUCACCGUGUGAGACCCGCGCCGGGCGAAGGCACGCCGGAGCCUCCGCCGGGAGAGGGCGGGACGCAGCUCCUGCACACCCGGCACCCCGGCGAUACCCUUCGCUGUGGUCCUUAGUACGCCGCCGCUGCAGGAUGGAGGAUGGAGGCGGGGAGGACUCGGGUCGCCGCGUUUAGGUUCUCGCUGGCGCCCAGCGGGGCUCCCUACCUCAACAGCCUCAGCGAAAAGCAACACGGGAGUUUUGUAGUUUUCUAGAUGCUUCUAGAGAUUGAGUGAUGGCGACGGAUUUCUGAGCCUAGGGUUCGCAGCUGUCAGCUCACUCUCGCCAGGUCGCAUACCUGUGACAAUUUACAUGUCUUUCCAGGAGAACCAAUUCCGAUUAGCCUCACCUGCCUGCAGAUAGCCAGCUCAACUGUUUCUUUGUGAUGCCUUCCGGGAAUUUUCCCAGGCUCUUUGGAGUCCUGUGUCUUGAUACCCUCUAUAUGGGACUGGGCCAUCUGUACUCUUGGAAAGUCUUGAAAGCAAAUGUUCAGACAUCUGGACUGGACAAUUUCAUAAUUACCAGUGUUUUCUAAGGGCUACUUUCAUAAUUAGGUGUUCAGUUAGUGUGUAUGGGGGGGGGGCAUCUUUCUGGACCAUUCCAAGGCUCAUUUUAUUAAUUCCAAGUACCUGGCCGAUGUGGGUCAUGAUGGAGAAAACAACAACAACAACAACAACAACAAAAAACGAUUAGCUGACCUGUGAUUAUCUAAGGGCAGUGUUAGCGUUUAGAGAAACUGGUUGAAUUCUGGGGCUACGUGUCGGCCCUGCAGAGCAGGGAUAAGUGAUAAUACUGUCCAGUUCUUCAAUUGCCCAAUAUUUUCAUACCUAUGAGUAGAAAUUAAUGAAAUGAAAGAGCACAUUGAAAGCAAAGACUAAAGGUGACUGUGUCAGGCGAAUGGGUGGCAUGAGAGAAUGCAUCUGGAAUUGGUUUUUAGCAUAAAAAGCAUACAGAGGGUGAAUGUAGGAUCCACAAAGUCACAUCAGGGAUCCAGUAUCCUCUUUGGUCUGCUCAGCAACUCAGGGAAGUCUUGUUACUUCCCUGCCUUAAUGAUUGUAGGAUACAGUGGUAGCAAAGGAGGUGGGGGCACACCGUGCUGUGGUGUGUGUAUCACAUAACUAUAUGAACACAACAUGUUCAGUUCUGUUAGUGUUCCUAUCACGUGACCUCAGAGCUGACAUUUUGGUAUUGAAUAACCUGUUAGGGGUUCAUCUCUGGGAAGGACUUCCUCUUCCUCUCAGCAUUCCUGUAGUUCAUUGUCUAGGGGUGGGGAUAUUUGAUAUCUUGAACAAUGGAUGAUUUAUUUAGAUGCUUAUUAUCUGUGAAAUUAAUGGAUGAUGAUCUCGUUAUCCCCCUUUGGUUCUUCCUCUAGAUCUUAAGGUUUCAAAAAUGUAUAAAGAGGACUGUCAAGAUGGCUUAACUGGUAAAGGUGACUGCUUCAUAGCUUGACGACCUGAGUUCGAGCCUCAGGAUCCACCGAUAUGGAAGGAGAGAACCAACCCCUACAAGUUAUCCUCUGACUUCCACAUGCUCCAUGUGAUCCUCAUGUACACAUGUAGACAGAGAAAUACAUCACUUGUACUUCAAAGACUGUCAUGUCAGAACAGCACAAGUUGGAUACUUUACCAAGAAGGAAUAUUUUUUUCUGAAAUAAUUGAGUUUAAAAUAGCUAUUAUGCUUUGAACUAUUGCUUGAUCCUUGUCAGUUAUGGUUUUCCUCACAAAUUCUUUACUUCUAGAGACUGUUUUCAGUAAGUAGAAUUGUACAUUUGAGUAGUGCCUUGCUGGAUAUUUCAGUGUGCAUAUUAGUUCAAGCAGCUGUGAGGCAGAGAAGUGUAGCUCGAAUUCUAGUUGGUCUUAAUAAUAAAAGCCCAGAGUCAGAUAUAGGGGUUAGUGCUGAAGUUCAGAGAAGCAGAGAGGCCAGACACUGAAGAGUUCUUUUACCUGUACCAAUGCUUAGACAGAAGGGCGAUCCUGUCCUCAGACUGCGUCUGUCUCCACCAAACCUCAGACUGCCCUGAGCUCCCUCCCCUGUCUCCUCCCACCUUAUAUUCCCCUCACCACCCAGCCAUGUCACUCCAUCACUCCCUCUCCACCUCCCUAGUGCUGGGAUUAAAGGUGUGUAAUCUCAAAUGCUGGGGGUCACCUUUAAACUCUUUCUCUUUUAGAUAGAUUAAAUCUUGUUUAGCCCAGGGUGGCCUUGAACUAACAGAGCCCUGACUGCCUCUCUCUCCCCGGAUUCCUGGAAUUAAAGAUGUGUGCCUCCACUCCCUGGUCUCUAGUGGCUUAUUAGCUCUUCAGCUUUAUUUGUUAAAACAUAGACAAAAUAUCACUACAGGGAAGCCAUACUUAGAAGCAAGCAUGGUCUUCUCUUUGUCUUCAGGUGUGAAUUUGAGUCCUAAGAGACAGAGAGCAAACCCUCCUCUCAUCUGGUCAAUUACUGGAAGAGCUGGGGAUCAGAUCCUCCAACUGUUAGUAACUGGAAUUACUCUUUAUAUUUGUAUUUUGUUAUGAACUCGUGCAUUUGGAAUAUUUUCAGAAGAUGGAGGAAUGUUCAUUUCUAUCCCUCUGUCAGAGAGGACAGUAUUAUUUAGUACAGUGGCUGCGAGGCUUGCAAAUGAUCCGCUGACUGCAGUGCCCAGAAUCCUGCAAGAACUUUGCAAAUAAUGCUGUCUACUAUUAUACUUUUUCCAGAAUUAUAGGGUUUUGUAAUUAUGGUUAUGAGAUUUGUUUGUAUGUGUAGGCUCUCACUGCGUAGUUCAGGCUGGGCCUGGAACUAAAAGCUCUUCCUGCCUCUGUCUUUCAAGUGCUGGGAUUAGAGGUGUGUGCUGUUGGCACCCAGAAGUGCUGGUUAAACCCACCACCUACUGUGACUGCAAUUUCCUUUCUUCCUCAAGUGAGCCGGCUUUGUUUGCCUCAGCCAUGCACAGACAGCUUUGAAAUAAGGGCGCUCAAAUACAAGGCCGCCUUAGAGUUCAUGUUUCAAUUUUUUUUUAUUAUAGCGGUAUCAUUUACUUUGGUAAAUUCAUAUUCCGAUUUUAAAAUGCUUUGAAGCAAACAAAACUCAUUUACAAAUUCAAGUACUGCAUGUUAUACACACAAUAGCUGCAUAGUGGAAUUUCUCUAGCAAGCUGUUAAUUCACAAUGCCCAGUACUAACAGUACGGCAGUAGAUUACACUAAAUGUAUCGCUUUGCCACAAUCGUUGUAUAGCACGGUAACCAGUACAACAGCUUAUAUGAUUGCACGUCAAAGCUUUAAUAAAGUUGUAGCAUUUGA
Myodes glareolus (Bank vole) is the source of this 3330-nucleotide non-coding RNA. The record is from RefSeq and is a predicted model, not a curated record. NCBI's taxonomy places the organism in Eukaryota, Metazoa, Chordata, Mammalia, Rodentia, Cricetidae.